Molecule: ribosomal RNA, 1440 nt
Filed under: uncultured organism
Description: SSU rRNA
Rfam family: Bacterial small subunit ribosomal RNA
Source: RNAcentral
GGCUUAACACAUGCAAGUCGAGGGGCAUCAGGAAGAAAGCUUGCUUUCUUUGCUGGCGACCGGCGCACGGGUGAGUAACACGUAUCCAACCUGCCCUUUACUCGGGGAUAGCCUUUCGAAAGAAAGAUUAAUACCCGAUAGCAUAAUGAUUCCGCAUGGUUUCAUUAUUAAAGGAUUCCGGUAAAGGAUGGGGAUGCGUUCCAUUAGGUUGUUGGUGAGGUAACGGCCCACCAAGCCUUCGAUGGAUAGGGGUUCUGAGAGGAAGGUCCCCCACAUUGGAACUGAGACACGGUCCAAACUCCUACGGGAGGCAGCAGUGAGGAAUAUUGGUCAAUGGGCGCUAGCCUGAACCAGCCAAGUAGCGUGAAGGAUGAAGGCUCUAUGGGUCGUAAACUUCUUUUAUAUAAGAAUAAAGUGCAGUAUGUAUACUGUUUUGUAUGUAUUAUAUGAAUAAGGAUCGGCUAACUCCGUGCCAGCAGCCGCGGUAAUACGGAGGAUCCGAGCGUUAUCCGGAUUUAUUGGGUUUAAAGGGAGCGUAGGUGGACUGGUAAGUCAGUUGUGAAAGUUUGCGGCUCAACCGUAAAAUUGCAGUUGAUACUGUCAGUCUUGAGUACAGUAGAGGUGGGCGGAAUUCGUGGUGUAGCGGUGAAAUGCUUAGAUAUCACGAAGAACUCCGAUUGCGAAGGCAGCUCACUGGACUGCAACUGACACUGAUGCUCGAAAGUGUGGGUAUCAAACAGGAUUAGAUACCCUGGUAGUCCACACAGUAAACGAUGAAUACUCGCUGUUUGCGAUAUACAGUAAGCGGCCAAGCGAAAGCAUUAAGUAUUCCACCUGGGGAGUACGCCGGCAACGGUGAAACUCAAAGGAAUUGACGGGGGCCCGCACAAGCGGAGGAACGUGUGGUUUAAUUCGAUGAUACGCGAGGAACCUUACCCGGGCUUAAAUUGCAGUGGAAUGAUGUGGAAACAUGUCAGUGAGCAAUCACCGCUGUGAAGGUGCUGCAUGGUUGUCGUCAGCUCGUGCCGUGAGGUGUCGGCUUAAGUGCCAUAACGAGCGCAACCCUUAUCUUUAGUUACUAACAGGUUAUGCUGAGGACUCUAGAGAGACUGCCGUCGUAAGAUGUGAGGAAGGUGGGGAUGACGUCAAAUCAGCACGGCCCUUACGUCCGGGGCUACACACGUGUUACAAUGGGGGGUACAGAAGGCAGCUAGCGGGUGACCGUAUGCUAAUCCCAAAAUCCUCUCUCAGUUCGGAUCGAAGUCUGCAACCCGACUUCGUGAAGCUGGAUUCGCUAGUAAUCGCGCAUCAGCCACGGCGCGGUGAAUACGUUCCCGGGCCUUGUACACACCGCCCGUCAAGCCAUGGGAGCCGGGGGUACCUGAAGUACGUAACCGCAAGGAUCGUCCUAGGGUAAAACUGGUGACUGGGGCUAAGUCA